AGAGUUUGAUCAUGGCUCAGGAUGAACGCUGGCGGCGUGCCUUAGGCAUGCAAGUCGAACGUAAGCUCUUCGGAGCUUGAGUGGCAGACGGGUGAGUAACGCGUAGGAAUCUACCCUUUGGUGGGGAACAACUGGUCGAAAGAUUAGUUAAUACCGCAUAACAUCGCAAGAUAAAAGAACGUAACUGUUCGCCGAUGGAGGAGCCUGCGUCCUAUCAGCUUGUUGGUGAGGUAAUGGCUCACCAAGGCUAUGACGGGUAGGGGGUGUGAGAGCAUGGCCCCCCACAAGAACACUGAGACACGGGUUCUACACCUACGGGUGGCAGCAACCGGGAAUAUUGCGCAAUGGAGGAAACUCUGACGCAGCGACGCCGCGUGUGGGAUGACGGCCUUCGGGUCGUAAACCACUGUGGAGAGGGAAGAAGUUCUGACGGUACCUCUCUAGAAAGCACCUGCUAACUACGUGCCAGAAGCCUCGGUAAUACGUAGGGUGCAAGCGUUAUCCGGAUUUACUGGGCGUAAAGGGUUCGUAGGCGGUUAAGUAAGUGACGGGUCAAAGCCCCUGGCUCAACUAGGGAACGGCUCGCCAAACUGCUUAACUAGAGUAGGUUCGGGGAUGUUGGAAUUCUCGGUGGAGGAGUGAAACCCGUUGAUAUCGAGAGGAACGCCAAGGGCGAAGGCAGACAUCUAGGACCAUACUGACGCUCAUGAACGAAAGCUAGGGUAGCAAACUGGAUUAGAGACCCAGGUAGUCCUAGCCGUAAACGCUGAACACUAGCUGGCUGGAAAUUUUUAUUUCUGGCUGGCGCAAGCUAACGCGUUAAGUGUUCCGCCUGGGGAGUACGGUCGCAAGGCUAAAACUCAAAGGAAUUGACGGGGAAACGUACAACCGGCGUUCCAUGUGGUUUAAUUCGAUACAAAACGAAGGACCUUACCUAGGUUUGACAUGCACCUGCAAGCUCCCGAAACGGAGUCGCCUUCGAGGGUGGUGCACAGCUGCUGCAUGGUUGUCGUCAGUUCGUGUCGUGAGGCGUCCGCUUAAGUGCGGUAACGAACGCAACCCCUAUCGUAUGUUAAAUAUUCAUGCGAAACUGCCCUGGUACAAUCAGGGAGGAAGGAGGGGACGACGUCAAAUCAGCAUGGCGCUUAUAUCUAGGGCCACACACAUGGGGUAAUGGGAGGUACAACGGGUCGCGACAGGGUAACCUUGAGCUAAUCCUUUAAAGCCUUCCUCAGUUCGGAUUGUGGGCUGCAACUCGCCCACAUGAAGGGGAGUCGGUAGUAAUCGCAGGUCAGCUAAACUGCGGUGAAUACGUUCUCGUUUCUUGUCCACACUGCCCGUCAAGUCAACAAAGUCAGCAGUGCCCGAAGUCGGUACCCCUUACGGGGUCGCUUAAGGCAAGGUUGGCGAUGGGGGCUAAGUCGUAACAAGGUA
This 1434-nucleotide ribosomal RNA is filed under the name uncultured Microgenomates group bacterium. RNAcentral describes it as "bacterial SSU rRNA". It matches the Rfam family "Bacterial small subunit ribosomal RNA". The record is from RNAcentral.